This 112-nucleotide non-coding RNA is filed under the name Aurantimonas sp. RNAcentral describes it as "TPP sequence". It matches the Rfam family "TPP riboswitch aptamer (THI element)". Rfam says of the family: Vitamin B(1) in its active form thiamin pyrophosphate (TPP) is an essential coenzyme that is synthesised by coupling of pyrimidine and thiazole moieties in bacteria. The previously detected thiamin-regulatory element, thi box was extended, resulting in a new, highly conserved RNA secondary structure, the THI element, which is widely distributed in eubacteria and also occurs in some archaea. The record is from RNAcentral. Lineage: Bacteria; Pseudomonadati; Pseudomonadota; Alphaproteobacteria; Hyphomicrobiales; Aurantimonadaceae.
CCCAUCGAACAGGGGUGCUCCGUAUCGCCGGGGCUGAGAGGAAGGCGUCAGGCCUUCAAACCCUCAAGCUGAUCUGGGUAAUGCCAGCGGAGCGAGUUAAGCCAUGUUUUCA